AGUGAACGCUGGCGGUAGGCCUAACACAUGCAAGUCGAACGGCAGCACAGUAAGAGCUUGCUCUUACGGGUGGCGAGUGGCGGACGGGUGAGGAAUACAUCGGAAUCUACUUUUUCGUGGGUGAUAACGUAGGGAAACUUACGCUAAUACCGCAUACGACCUACGGGUGAAAGCAGGGGAUCUUCGGACCUUUCGCGAUUGAAUGAGCCGAUGUCGGAUUAGCUAGUUGGCGGGGUAAAGGCCCACCAAGGCGACGAUCCGUAGCUGGUCUGAGAGGAUGAUCAGCCACACUGGAACUGAGACACGGUCCAGACUCCUACGGGAGGCAGCAGUGGGGAAUAUUGGACAAUGGGCGCAAGCCUGAUCCAGCCAUACCGCGUGGGUGAAGAAGGCCUUCGGGUUGUAAAGCCCUUUUGUUGGGAAAGAAAAGCAGCAGGUUAAUACCCCGCUGUUCUGACGGUACCCAAAGAAUAAGCACCGGCUAACUUCGUG
Molecule: ribosomal RNA, 492 nt
Filed under: uncultured bacterium
Lineage: Bacteria
Description: partial 16S ribosomal RNA
Rfam family: Bacterial small subunit ribosomal RNA
Source: RNAcentral